CAGCCGCCGCGGGAAUACGUAGGGUGCAAGCGUUAAUCGGAAUUACUGGGCGUAAAGCGCGCGCAGGCGGUUAUAUAAGUCAGAUGUGAAAUCCCCGGGCUCAACCUGGGAACUGCAUUUGAGACUGUAUGGCUAGAGUGUGUCAGAGGGGGGUAGAAUUCCACGUGUAGCAGUGAAAUGCGUAGAUAUGUGAAGGAAUACCGAUGGCGAAGGCAGCCCCCUGGGAUAACACUGACGCUCAUGCACGAAAGCGUGGGGAGCAAACAGGAUUAGAUACCCGCGUAGUCCCUGUCUCUUAUAC
RNAcentral lists this ribosomal RNA (301 nucleotides) under uncultured bacterium. Its description in RNAcentral is "partial 16S ribosomal RNA". It matches the Rfam family "Bacterial small subunit ribosomal RNA", at positions 509 to 807 of the family's 1533-position model. The record is from RNAcentral.